This is a non-coding RNA of Camelina sativa (false flax), 2934 nucleotides long. Lineage: Eukaryota; Viridiplantae; Streptophyta; Magnoliopsida; Brassicales; Brassicaceae. The record is from RefSeq and is a predicted model, not a curated record.
AUUUCGAUUAACUUGGAUGCAGCGGUAGUCUCAAAAAGAUUUAGAUCUUCGUGAAAACCCUAACGGGAAGACCAUUACGCUAGAGGUCGAGUCAUCUGACACCAUCGACUAUGUGAAAGCGAAGAUCCAGGGAUCUCACCGGACCAGCAGCCUUUGAUUUUCGCCGGGAAGCAGCUCGAGGACGGCCGCAGUUCUUAUCAAAUAAAAAAAAAGUUUCGAUAAACUUGAUUUGUGCAGUUGGUCUCGUCUGCUCUUCAAAGAUGUCGUUUAUCAGAUACAGAUCCUCCGAUUACGUCUAUUUCGAUCGCAGAUACGGGAUCGACGAAGCGGCUGCUACUCCUCUGCAGGCAGUGAAUAGGGGUGACUCUGACAGCAAAGUUAACACAACACGGAAACUCUUUUCCUUUCUCUCUAAUUUUAGUGUUUAGGUAUCCUUUUUAUUUUAUUUUAACAAUUUUAGUUAUAUUCAACCUUCCUUUUGCUUUUUCUGAUCUCUCAAAUUCCAAACCUUCGGAAUCCAAACACAUUUUUUGAACCUCGCCACUCUCUCGUCUAGAUCGUUCUUCCUUCUUUUAGCCGUAGGAAGAAUGUCGAUGACAGAGGCAGUGACAAAGAUCCAUCCAUAGAUGAUAGAUUAGUUAGUGUUUUGUUUCCCUUUACAAUUGUCUCUAUAGGGUUUUGGAUGAUUUAGAUUUUAGACCUCUAUAAUGGGGAAUUGCUUUGGAUCUUCCCCCAAGAAUGAAGAUGUUAAUGUUGACGACUCCUCAGUGAACUCCAAACCCUUUUCACUUUAUGCUUUGAUUGAGAGAGGAGUUUGAAGUAAUUUAGGUAACAAGAAGAGAACAAAAGUUUUAAUUUUUUUGGUUUGUUAUGGUGGGGGCGAUGGCAAACAAUGGAAGAAUCCGGUCAGCUUCUCCGGUGAUUAAUGGGUCAAAAGAUCUGACUCCGAACAGCGCUCCAGCGAGCACAACGGGAUCUGAAUAUGGUCCUGUUGAGUUCACAAGAGAUUACAUUGAAACUCUUCUUAAUGAACGAAUCAAGUACAAGAGCAAAUUCAACUACAAGGAGAGAUGUGAGAACAUGAUGGAAUAUAUAAAAAGGCUUAGACUUUGCAUUAGGUGGUUUCAAGAACUCGAGUUGGAUUAUGCUUUUGAGCAAGAGAAGUUGAAGAAUGCAUUGGAAUUGAAUGAGAAGCAUUGUGCUGACAUGGAGGUUAGUUUGAGAAACAAAGAAGAGGAGCUGAAUAUGAUAAUUGAAGAGCUGAGGAAAAACUUUGAAUCUGUUCAAGUGCAACUUGCCAGGGAACAAACGGAGAAGUUGGCUGCGAAUGAUUCUCUUGGAAAAGAGAAAGAAACAAGACUUGCUGUUGAAAAGGCACAAGCUGGUCUUGUAGAAGAGCUAGACAAAGCACAAGGAGAUCUUCAAACGGCUAACCAGAGGAUACAAUCGGUAAAUGACAUGUACAAACUGUUGCAAGAGUAUAACUCAAGCCUGCAGCUGUAUAACAGCAAGCUACAAGGUGAUCUUGAUGAAGCUCAUGAAACUAUAAAACGCGGUGAGAAAGAAAGGACUGCCAUUGUCGAAAAUAUUGGCAACUUGAAGGGCCAGUUUUCAGCAUUGCAGGAUCAGCUUGCUGCUUCUAAGGCUUCUCAAGAAGAUAUCAUGAAGCAGAAAGGUGAGUUGGAAAACGAAAUUGCGAGUCUCAAGGUCGAGCUUCAGCAGGCCAAGGAAGACCGUGAUCGCCAUUUAGUGGAAGUACAAACCUUACAAACUGAGGCAACCAAGUACAAUGACUUCAAAGACACCAUAACUGAACUUGAGACUACAUGUUCAUCCCAGAGUACUCAGAUACAAGAGUUACAGGAUCGACUAGUGUAUUCUGAGAGGCGACUGCAGGUGUCUGAUCUAACUACUUUUGAGAAAAUAAAUGAGUUUGAAGACCAGAAGCAAAGCAUUAUCGAUCUGAAAAGUCGAGUAGAAGAAGCAGAACUUAAACUCGUUGAAGGGGAAAAACUACGGAAGAAGUUGCACAAUACCAUUCUUGAAUUGAAAGGCAAUAUACGUGUGUUCUGUAGAGUUAGACCUUUAUUGCCUGGUGAGAAUAAUGGUGAGGAGGGAAAAACUAUUUCUUACCCGACAUCUCUAGAAGCACUUGGUCGCGGUAUUGACUUGUUGCAAAAUGGGGGUUCUAAUGUGCUUUCUUGGUCACUGCGUAUGAAAGAGGCGAUUGGUGCUGCUAGAGGGCUUUGUUUUUUGCACGAAGCUAAGGAUCAAGUCAUUUACAGAGACUUCAAAGCAGCAAAUAUCCUUCUUGAUUCAGGAUUCAACCCAAAACUCUCAGACUUUGGAUUGGCGAAAGAAGGUCCAAAAGACAACCGUUCACAUGUGACAACCCAAGUCAUCGGUACAGAAGGUUACGCAGCUCCAGAAUAUCUAGCAACAGGUCAUCUAACAACGAAAUGUGACGUCUACAGCUUUGGUGUAGUCUUGCUAGAGAUUCUAUCUAGACGUAGAGCAAUAGACAAAACUAAAGCUCGAGAAGAAGAAUAUUUAGUGGAAUGGGCGACACCUUACUUGCGAGACAAGCGAAAAGUGUUUAGGAUAAUGGACACGAAGCUUGUGGGUCAAUACCCUUAGAAAGCAGCGUUUAUGAUGUCUUUCUUGGCUUUACAAUGUAUUGGAGAGGUUAAAGUUAGACCAUCGAUGCCUGAGGUCUUGUCUCUUCUUGAGAAAGUUACAAUUCCAAGACAUCGAAAGAGUAGAAGCAGAGGUUUUGCUACUAACUCUUCUUCCAAACGGUUUCUCAGACACCCUAAUUAAGGACUCAAAAUCUCUUUGGCUUUUGGAUCGUUUCUUUUGUGGAAAUGGAAUAUAAAAACUUUUUUUUGGUUACGUCAUUGAUAAUAUAGAAGAAUAAAAAAAGCUUGGCCAUGA